UCCUGUUUGCUCCCCACGCUUUCGCAUCUGAGUGUCAGUAUCUGUCCAGGGGGCCGCCUUCGCCACCGGUAUUCCUUCAGAUCUCUACGCAUUUCACCGCUACACCUGAAAUUCUACCCCCCUCUACAGUACUCUAGUCUGCCAGUUUCAAAUGCUAUUCCGAGGUUGAGCCCCGGGCUUUCACAUCUGACUUAACAAACCACCUGCAUGCGCUUUACGCCCAGUAAUUCCGAUUAACGCUCGCACCCUCCGUAUUACCGCGGCUGCUGGCACGGAGUUAGCCGGUGCUUCUUCUGUCGCUAACGUCAAAUGAUAGUGCUAUUAACACUACCACCUUCCUCACGACUGAAAGUGCUUUACAACCCGAAGGCCUUCUUCACACACGCGGCAUGGCUGCAUCAGGCUUGCGCCCAUUGUGCAAUAUUCCCCACUGCUGCCUCCCGUAGGAGUCUGGACCGUGUCUCAGUUCCAGUGUGGCUGAUCAUCCUCUCAGACCAGCUAGGGAUCGUCGCCUUGGUGAGCCAUUACCUCACCAACUAGCUAAUCCCACCUAGGCAUAUCCUGACGCGAGAGGCCCGAAGGUCCCCCUCUUUGACCCGUAGGUGUUAUGCGGUAUUAGCCAUCGUUUCCAAUGGUUAUCCCCCACAUCAGGGCAAUUUCCUAGGCAUUACUCACCCGUCCGCCGCUCGACGCCGUUAUCGUCCCCCGAAGGUUCAGAUAACUCGUUUCCGCUCGACUUGCAUGUGUUAGGCCUGCCGCCAGCGUUCAAUCUGAGCCAGGAUCAAACUCU
This 790-nucleotide ribosomal RNA is filed under the name uncultured bacterium. RNAcentral's name for it is "partial 16S ribosomal RNA". The record is from RNAcentral.